RNAcentral lists this ribosomal RNA (960 nucleotides) under Lactiplantibacillus plantarum. Its description in RNAcentral is "bacterial SSU rRNA". It matches the Rfam family "Bacterial small subunit ribosomal RNA", at positions 32 to 956 of the family's 1533-position model. Lineage: Bacteria; Bacillati; Bacillota; Bacilli; Lactobacillales; Lactobacillaceae. The record is from RNAcentral.
AACGCUGGCGGCGUGCCUAAUACAUGCAAGUCGAACGAACUCUGGUAUUGAUUGGUGCUUGCAUCAUGAUUUACAUUUGAGUGAGUGGCGAACUGGUGAGUAACACGUGGGAAACCUGCCCAGAAGCGGGGGAUAACACCUGGAAACAGAUGCUAAUACCGCAUAACAACUUGGACCGCAUGGUCCGAGCUUGAAAGAUGGCUUCGGCUAUCACUUUUGGAUGGUCCCGCGGCGUAUUAGCUAGAUGGUGGGGUAACGGCUCACCAUGGCAAUGAUACGUAGCCGACCUGAGAGGGUAAUCGGCCACAUUGGGACUGAGACACGGCCCAAACUCCUACGGGAGGCAGCAGUAGGGAAUCUUCCACAAUGGACGAAAGUCUGAUGGAGCAACGCCGCGUGAGUGAAGAAGGGUUUCGGCUCGUAAAACUCUGUUGUUAAAGAAGAACAUAUCUGAGAGUAACUGUUCAGGUAUUGACGGUAUUUAACCAGAAAGCCACGGCUAACUACGUGCCAGCAGCCGCGGUAAUACGUAGGUGGCAAGCGUUGUCCGGAUUUAUUGGGCGUAAAGCGAGCGCAGGCGGUUUUUUAAGUCUGAUGUGAAAGCCUUCGGCUCAACCGAAGAAGUGCAUCGGAAACUGGGAAACUUGAGUGCAGAAGAGGACAGUGGAACUCCAUGUGUAGCGGUGAAAUGCGUAGAUAUAUGGAAGAACACCAGUGGCGAAGGCGGCUGUCUGGUCUGUAACUGACGCUGAGGCUCGAAAGUAUGGGUAGCAAACAGGAUUAGAUACCCUGGUAGUCCAUACCGUAAACGAUGAAUGCUAAGUGUUGGAGGGUUUCCGCCCUUCAGUGCUGCAGCUAACGCAUUAAGCAUUCCGCCUGGGGAGUACGGCCGCAAGGCUGAAACUCAAAGGAAUUGACGGGGGCCCGCACAAGCGGUGGAGCAUGUGGUUUAAUUCGAAG